This is a long non-coding RNA of Humulus lupulus (European hop), 3074 nucleotides long. RefSeq lists it as uncharacterized. The transcript is spliced from 3 exons. The record is from RefSeq and is a predicted model, not a curated record. Lineage: Eukaryota; Viridiplantae; Streptophyta; Magnoliopsida; Rosales; Cannabaceae.
UUCCCUCAUUUUCCCUAUCGUCUCUUACAUGCCAAGGUAUCUUGAGGAGCACGUCUAUCACCUUCGACGGAGAAGACGAAUAGAGACACCACCUAAGAAGACGACGACAGUGGAAGGCGACACCGUGCGUAUCGCCAACAACGACAGCUUUGUUGGGAUUAGUCUUCAAAAGGGGUCUGAUAAAACAAGGUACUAGGAAGAGAGUUUUCCCAGUACUUUCACCAUUUUCAUUUGAAAUCCAUGAAUCAGUUAAAGCUCUUGGCAUUGUGAAUGCAAAUGAAGAACCAAUUGAAGAGAAUCCAAUGGACCUUGUCGCUAGUGAGAAUGAGCCAAUGGCCCCUGCUACAGUAGAAAAUGAUCCUAGUACCUUUGCGACUGAAGCUGACUAUCAUGGUUUUCCAACUCAACAAACGAAACUUGGAGACACAAAAAUGCAACUCGGAGUGCAACUUCAAUGGCACAAGACAAUACAUUAGCCUUUGCGAAUGAUGGUGCAUUGCCAAGCCUGACUGAUGAUAGUGGCAUGGAAUGGAAAAAAGGAAAAAAUGACACUUCAAGUGAUGAGGAGGACAGUUCUGAAAUAGGCGAAGAUUGUGUUGAAUCUGACAUAAAGGAAGAGUUUGGGACGUUUUAUGACAGUGAUGAGGCAGACCACAGAAAUUUCAAAAGAAUGGAUAAAAAAAAGAAGAGUUAAUUUACCCAAAUAGUAAAUUGCCAAAUCCAGAAGGGGGGUGGGGGUAUGACAUUUAUCUGAAUGGCAACGUAGUGCUUAGAAAAUGGCUAAGAUUUAGAGAUCACAAGCAGAACUGGGAUGUGGUGAAAGAUUAUGCUAUACAAGAAGGUUUUGAGCUUCAUAAAGUGAAGCAUGCUUCUAGCAUAAUUACUACACGUUGUAGAGCAAUGCACAUGGCGAAUCCAUGCUUCUAAGCCACCAGAUGGUACUGAAUUUCUCAUAAAAACAUACAAUCUUGAAUAUAAUUUCCGGUGUGUUGUGAAGAAUAGGAUAGUUACAACGAGUUGGAUUGCCAAAAAUCUCUUCGUAAUAGCUUUGCUAGAUAUCUUACAAUGAGUGUCGACAAAAUGAGAACUGAGUUGAGAGACCAUUUUGGAGUUGAGGCUACAAACAGGCGACUAUGGGCAGCUAGACAGAAAGCUAGAGGGGCUUCAGGAGGGGACUAUGCUUAUUCAUAUGCCAACUUAAGGCGUUAUGGUGCUAUGAUCCUUAAAUUCAAUCCGGGGAGUGCUGCUUUUGUCCGGACAAACUUAGAGCCAAUUGAAGAGCAUUUGGAGGGUGACACUAAUGAGCCAUUGACUCGUGUGGAAUCAGUAAUGAAGCUUCAAUUCAAGAGAAUCUUUGUUUGCUACGAAGGUGUGAAAUCUGGUUUCAAAGCAGGUUUCGACCUUUUUUUGGGUUAGAUGGUUGUCAUCUGAAAGGGUCAUACAAGAGCAUUUUAUUAGCAGCAAUGGGGGUUGAUGCAAAUCUUCAUUUCUAUCCCAUUGCAUAUGCUAUUGUAGAAGCAGAGAAUACUAAUAGUUGGAAAUGGUUUUUGGAGAUGUUACUGGAAGAAAUUGGGGAUACUGCUAAUGGCAAGCCAUGGUGUGUUAUGAGUGACAGACAGAAGGGUUUAAUUGAUGCCGUGGCUAACAUCCCAGAUGUAUCACAACGUUUUUGUUGUUUUCAUUUGGAGAACAACAUGAUGAAGAAAUUUGGGGCAUCAGAACUUAAACAAUUGUUUUAGGCAGCGACACAGACAGCGAGCUUUGAUAAUUUCAAGCGUAUAAAGACAUUCAACAAGGAAGCACAUGAGUGGCUUACCAAUAUUGACUUCAACCAUUGGUGCAUGAGCAAGUUUAACACAAAUGUUAAGGCAGAGCAUCUUACAAAAAAAUUUGUAGAAUAGAUGGCCACCAAUACAAGCCUCCUAUUGAAUUACUUGAGGGUAUAAGAAUGCAGCAUACCUGAAUGAUGUAUGUUAGGAAAAAGAUAGCAGACAAAUGGUCUCACAAGCUAACCCCAAAGGUGAAAUUGAGGGUCAAUGAAAUCCAAAAAAAAAGCACGUUUCACAACUGUUACAAAUGUUAUAAAUCAAGAAUUCAAAGUUGAUUAUUCUGCAAAAAGGUGUAUUUUUCGAUUAAAUGAAGGAUAUUGCAUAUGUGGCCAAUGGCAGGUGAGAGGAAUCCCUUGUAUUCAUGCAGCUGCUUGCAUAAAUACUAUAAGGGCGGACAUUACCAAUUAUUGCUCGCCAUAUGUCACCACUGAAAUGUUGAGGAAGAGUUUUGAGUAUGCUAUUCAUCCUAUACCAGAUGAAUCAAUGUGGCCUCAAUUUGACGAUGAGGAAUUACUACCACCUAUUAUAAAAAAAACUCCCUAGCAGACCCAAAAAAUAUCAUAGAUAAGGGUUGCAGGAGAGAAGAGACAUUUACCCACUGUUCUUGGAAAACAACCAGUUAGAAAGGGAGUUUCUAGCACUAAGAAGUGCAAGAACUGUCAUGAAUUUGGCCAUAACAAAAGGUCAUGCAAGAAACCACCAGCUCCUACCCCAUCUCAAUCACAACCUGAAAAUGCCCCAGCAGCGUGUCGAGGUAAAAGAAAGGCAGCAGGUCGGGGCAGAGGUCAAGCCAAAAAAAAAAACAGAGGCACAUCACAUGAGGUAAAAUAUUAUGCAUGUAUUAUAUGUUAUCAUGGUCAAUUUAUCUGAAUCAAUUUACCAUUUUUUCUGGCUUCUGUUCCAAGCUUGGAGCCAUCAGCUAAAGAAAUCCAGACAAAUGCACCACCAAUGGAUUUGGCAAACUUUGGCAAACUUGGCAAACUUGAUUUUAAAGAAAGAACCUAAUAUUGAAGAGCCUAUGUUUUUUGUUGUUUUUUUUUAUAAGGAUGUUACCUAUAACUUUUUUGCAAGCUGCUUUUGUAAAACCUAAACCAACUGUUGUUGGAUUUCUUUUGUAAAGCACUUACAUAGUGGCUACUUGUGUGCUAAUUAUUUUUGUAAAGCCUGAAACAAUUGUUGUUGGAUUCCUUUUGUAAAUCACUUAUACAGUGACUACUUGUUUGCUAAUUAUUACAAACUUUCAGU